CUGUGCGGAGCCCGAGGCUGGUGUCCGCAGAGGAAGGAGCCAGCGCGGACUUCCGAGGGUCCUGAGCGCGGAGACACGCCCUCGGCCGGUGGGACGACCUCGGGGUCCCCAGACACCGCCCCGCCUCCCGGGCCCGCCCCACACCCGAGGCGCACGGGCUUAAGAGCGCGCGGGGCUGAGUCUCAGUGCCGCUCCAGCCCACGUCCCCAGGACGCAGACAGGACAGGCGGGCUGUGAGGACUCCCGCCGGCCCGCAACUGCCACCGACCCGGCUGUCCGUGUCCUGGGCUGCAGGCCCUCGGGACCCGCCCGGGAUCCGCCCUGAGCCUCCCGCUCUCCCCCAGGCGCGCGGACAUGCGGCCGGCCAAACCAGGCGCCCCGCUGCGCGCGCUCCUCCUGCUGGCCCUGGCUUUGUCCCCUCGUGGGAUCCACGGAAGGCCCCGGGGGCGCAGGGGAGCCCGAGUCGCAGACAAGGAGUCGAAGCCUUUGCAUUUUCUGCCCGCAGCCGGGGCCAGCCCGGCUCCCAGCGCCUUCCGAAGCGCAGAAAUAUUCCCAAGAGAUUUGAAGUUAAAAGACAAAGACAAAUUCAUAAAGCAUUUCACAGGGCCAGUCACAUUUUCAGCUGAAUGUAGCAAACAUUUCCAUCGACUCUAUUACAAUACCAGGGAUUGCUCAACACCCGCCUAUUACAAAAGAUGUGCUAGAUUGCUAACAAGAUUAUCGGUGAGUCCACUCUGCUCACAGACCUAGCUAGAAAACCUCUCCUGUUGUCUCUUCAACUCUGUCAAUAGUCUAACUUACCUAAGAAAACGAACAAUGCAUUUCUUAAGAAUGUAUUAAUUUAAUUCGAAGAAGAAAGUACCUGGAAUUAUACUAAAUGUAAAAAGAGAUGAAAUUUGUAAUUUUAUAGAUAUUAUAAUGAGUAAAAUGAAAGACUUCCCAGAAAUAACUAAUUAGCUGUAUCCUAUCAUAGA
This is a non-coding RNA of Microcebus murinus (gray mouse lemur), 974 nucleotides long. NCBI's taxonomy places the organism in Eukaryota, Metazoa, Chordata, Mammalia, Primates, Cheirogaleidae. The record is from RefSeq and is a predicted model, not a curated record.